This is a non-coding RNA of Caretta caretta (loggerhead turtle), 1035 nucleotides long. The record is from RefSeq and is a predicted model, not a curated record. Lineage: Eukaryota; Metazoa; Chordata; Testudines; Cheloniidae.
AACCUUCUUAUCAACAGGAGCUGCAGAAAGUCAGCAAGCUAUUCAGCACGCUGGAGCUCCCCUGAACAUCCCUUUGUUCUGGCAUGAUCGAAGAAAUCAAAGGAGAUCUCUGGACACUGAGGUUUGGACCCAGGCCAUGCAGCAGUAAGAAGGAAUUGGAGAGGCAGCCAGUCCGUUUCACCCUUUUAUGCCCGCAGUUGGAAACACAAGGCGGAAAAGGGUAUACACAAAUAUAAAUGGAUGCUGCUUGCAAGAAUUCUGACUCCAGGUGCAUGGAGUUCAUGCAUAUCCAGAAUGGAAUAUGCAUAGGACCAGCACUGGAAGAAGAAUAAUUCUUACUAACCUGGCCCAACUCUUGGAACAGAGCAAGGGUCAUCUGGGUGGCGAUAACACUGCCUCAAAGGUGUUGCUCUUGAGUAGCCAGUCGUGGAAGUACAGGAAGACCAGUAUCACUUCCUGCCUAAGAUGCAAACCUGAGAUCUCAGCCGUCCUUGUUAUCACCGGCCAAAAGACUCCAAAGAAUUAGGAAGACGCCACAUAGAAGCAAAGAGGACAUGCUGCAUGAAGUAAGGCAGCAGUCCCUUAAUGAAAAUCAAAAAGUGCAGGAGUGGCAGGAGAGUGAAAGAAGGGCCCGCCAGCAGAACGCGGAUCACCGGCACCAAAGCACGGAGUGGCUGCUAAGCAUCAUGGAGCGCCAAGCGGACUCGAUACAGGCACUCGUAGCCAUGCAGGCGCAGCACUACCGCGUCUAUCUCCCCUGCAGCCCUUGUCCCAAAACUCUUUCCCUUGUGCCCCCAUGUCACCUCCAACCCACUUUCUCCCACAUCCGGGUUCUUAUUGCCACCAGCAGCCUCUAACACCUGUAGCUUCACCACCCAGCCCUGCAAACUAUGACCCUUACCCACUGCACUCAACCCCCAUCACCAUGCAUUUUAUCCAGCCUGAAAUGCAGCACUCCAGACAGGAAGGCCGAGUAUGAUAGCAGGACAUACACAAAUCUGUGAUUGAACCGUUCCCCUCCCCAUCCCCUUGCCC